CCAAUCUAGGCGUCCAUAUUCUGCCUCUGGCGUUUCCCUGUACGUUAGCGAUAAGCGACGACGAUUGGACCAAGUUGCCGGCGUUCCUUGGCCAGGAUGGCAGCUUGGU
Molecule: non-coding RNA, 109 nt
Filed under: unclassified sequences
Description: Flavobacterium-1 RNA
Rfam family: Flavobacterium-1 RNA
Source: Rfam by way of RNAcentral